CCGGAGAUGAUGCAUCAAACAACCGUCUGACCUUCACUGAUGGUGUUUUGUAUUCAUACUGUCUGAUCCAG
Molecule: small nucleolar RNA, 71 nt
Filed under: Fundulus heteroclitus (mummichog)
Lineage: Eukaryota; Metazoa; Chordata; Actinopteri; Cyprinodontiformes; Fundulidae
Source: RNAcentral